RNAcentral lists this transfer RNA (93 nucleotides) under Salmo salar (Atlantic salmon). It matches the Rfam family "tRNA". Rfam says of the family: Transfer RNA (tRNA) molecules are approximately 80 nucleotides in length. The record is from Rfam by way of RNAcentral. Lineage: Eukaryota; Metazoa; Chordata; Actinopteri; Salmoniformes; Salmonidae.
UCCCCUGUGGCUCAGUUGGUAGAGCAUGGUGUUUGCAACGCCAGCAUGGUGUGUGCAACGCCAGGGUUGUGGGUUCGAUUCCUAUGGGGGGCC